RNAcentral lists this ribosomal RNA (439 nucleotides) under uncultured Collinsella sp. RNAcentral's name for it is "partial 16S ribosomal RNA". It matches the Rfam family "Bacterial small subunit ribosomal RNA", at positions 338 to 793 of the family's 1533-position model. Lineage: Bacteria; Bacillati; Actinomycetota; Coriobacteriia; Coriobacteriales; Coriobacteriaceae. The record is from RNAcentral.
CCUACGGGAGGCAGCAGUGGGGAAUCUUGCGCAAUGGGGGGAACCCUGACGCAGCGACGCCGCGUGCGGGACGGAGGCCUUCGGGUCGUAAACCGCUUUCAGCAGGGAAGAGUCAAGACUGUACCUGCAGAAGAAGCCCCGGCUAACUACGUGCCAGCAGCCGCGGUAAUACGUAGGGGGCGAGCGUUAUCCGGAUUCAUUGGGCGUAAAGCGCGCGUAGGCGGCCCGGCAGGCCGGGGGUCGAAGCGGGGGGCUCAACCCCCCGAAGCCCCCGGAACCUCCGCGGCUUGGGUCCGGUAGGGGAGGGUGGAACACCCGGUGUAGCGGUGGAAUGCGCAGAUAUCGGGUGGAACACCGGUGGCGAAGGCGGCCCUCUGGGCCGAGACCGACGCUGAGGCGCGAAAGCUGGGGGAGCGAACAGGAUUAGAUACCCCAGUAG